RNAcentral lists this long non-coding RNA (211 nucleotides) under Elaeis guineensis (African oil palm). RNAcentral describes it as "long non-coding RNA (EGUI_LNC081195)". The record is from RNAcentral. Lineage: Eukaryota; Viridiplantae; Streptophyta; Magnoliopsida; Arecales; Arecaceae.
GGCUUCCUGAUUAGAAGGCUACAGAGAUUUAUCGAGAAGUUGCUGCUCCAGCUUCAGAAGAUCUUUUAAAGAUCUUUCAGAUCUAAUUUUUGGAGCAAAGAUUCAUACGGAGAAGAUGAUCUAGAUCCUAUUUGAGUGGAUACCGGUAGAGGCCAGAUGACUGUGUGGCUAUUUUAGAACUCUGGGCAUUGCUGCGAUCAUCUACAGGGUA